GUGGGUAUAUUAGGUGAUAUGAAUAUAUAUCUACUUUAAUUAUCAAAUCAUAAAUUGUGAGAUAUAUAUUUACUUAUCAAAUUAGAGUCGGUUACAUACACUGUUGAUUCAGUAAAAAACAAAAAAAGAGAUAUAUACAUUUAUUAUUAGUCCAUAUACAUCUAUGUACAUCUCUCCGGAGUGAGGACAUGUUACCUUUAAAAAACAGAAAAAGAAAAACUAGUUGAAAGAAUUAUGCCAAACAAUUUUUUAUUUUAUUUUUUUCUAAAUUCCUUUCGGCAAAAUUGAAAGAAUUAUCAUUGACAUAUCACCAAAAAUUAAAAAAAAAAUCAGUGAUUCACCAAACAAAUAUAUAUAUAUAUUUUAAUUCUAAAUUCAUUUCGGCAAAAUUGAAAGAAUUAUCCCGCAAACACCACCUAAAUAAGCGGGAGAAAAAUUUAAUAGCCAUUGGAUUGAUUCAGGUUACUGUAUAUAUUUGUCACCCUGUAUACAUACAUAUAUCUACAGAUUUUAGGAGAAUCGUGGAAAAGCGGGCGAAGAGAAGCAACGAAGGGAGGUUUUCGUUUCGUGGAAGUAAGCCCUAACGCCUGACAGCCCGGUCGAGUUUGCCAAAUAGUUGGUCCUAGUGUGUAUCUGUAUGCUAUUACUGAGCUUGCCAUAUGGUAUAUUGGAACACGAAGAGGGAGAUGAAAGCAAUUGAACAACGGGACUUGGAGAGGAGGCAGCAAUUUAAUGAACGAGUGACAUCAAAUUAAUGGAUGCAUGAGGUUGGUUGCAUCGAGUAAGUCUCCGCCAUAGCUUUCCUUUCUUUAUCGUGCCUCAAUUUUAUUAAAUACCAAAAGAUAUAUUUUGCUAACAUGUUCUGCCUCCAUUUUAUUAAAUGCCAAAAGAUAUUGUUUGCGUAAAUGUUCUGCCUCUUUUUUGCCUUACCAAGUUUUGGUGUCGUGCUUCCUGUUCUUGCAUUGCAUGCUGGUUUUACGACCUUUUCUCCUUUUUUUCGUAAGGUUUAUUAACUUUAUCAGUUUCAUCAGUACAUGCAUAGUCCAUUGAACAAUGCAUUAUGUAGGGUGUUGACAAUGUGCGACACUAGUCCUGCUGUUACCCUAAUUGGUGGGAGACAUUGAUGUUCGCAAUCAGCCAUGAAUAGUGGUGAAAUAUUAUAGCUGGUAUGCUCAAGUUUAUAGCUUUGUUGCUAAUGGGUGUAGGAAUCUUUCCUUUUGUUUUUACUGUUUCCUUCUCUUGCAUGGAGUUCGCUCAAUCCCACUUCCUAUGAUUUAUGUGUACUUUUGAAAAUAGAUAGAGCUAGGAUCCUGAUAUGGAAGAGCGUUCUCCUUUUAUAUUGUGACACAUACAGAUCGAAGGUGUUCAUAACCCGACCCUCCUGGGAAAUCUAAUGUUAUUUCUGCCUUUUGCAUGAAGGGUUGCCCAUGAUUUGGUAUUUUCAGGGUUGCCUUUAAUUUUGUUAUUGUAUUAUUGAUAGCUUCUAUUAAUAGUUUGCUCAUAACUUAAUUUUUGGUGUUUAAGGAUUUAGUUAAUAAAAAUAUUGUACUUUGUAAGGUGCUGCUUUUUUGUUUUUUUUUUUUUGGUUAAUAGGAAAUUGAAGAGGAAGCAGCAAUUAAGUGAACGGUUUGUCUUAUUCCCUUGAAACUCGGAUCAACCAUGUUUCUUUAUUUUUCCUUAUUUUUCUUUAUUGUUGCUCCUAUGUAUUAAGUGGAUAUAUUUGGAUGAAGCAAUUGUUUAAUUUAAGAAUUAUGCCUUUGAUGCUUCUAGUUGGUAUGCUAGAUUGAAAGUUUUGUUUCAUUUUUAAUGUUUUGAAUCUAUUUGAAGACCUUUAGUUUUUUUUAGCUUUGAUUCAACCCCUCCAUGUGUUCCAAGGUGGCAAGUUAGAUGGUUUUUUUUGCAUCCCAGUACAUGGCGUUUGUAUAAGAAUCUGUGUGAAUAUGUUGACUCAUCGUGGACAUAAAUCAAUUAUAGACCUAGAAGACGCGUUUGACAGGGUUGGUCUUUUAGCAUGAGGCAGCUUUGAAACCAUAAAGCUCCUUUCCCGUCAGGCCUGUACAAAGUUUAAGGACUAAAUGGUUCCCCUUUACACAAUUAUCCUUGAUUCUUUCUCCACCAAGAUCAACUCUUUUAAACUGACAUUUUGGAGCCAAAAUCUAGGAAUUUUGUAGAUCAAGCCCAUCAUAUAGUGAACAAGACCGUGGACUUUUGUGUCCUCUCUACUUCCUUUCCUCGAGUGUUGGACCUUGUUUGACCAAUCUUGUCUGUUGGCUCCGUAAAGUAUGGAUAGUCACGCCAUUUAUUUGUUGUGUUUAGAGUACAUGUAUUAGUUGUGGGACAUUUUAUCGCCCUCUCGUCUUAGGCGUGUAUAAAGUUUGAGGACUUUAAGGUUCCUCUCUACAUAUUUUUCCUCGAUUCGGUCUCCACAAAGAUCAGUUCUUUCAAAAAUGGUUCAACCACUAAUCUUAUGAUGUAUGGACUCGGUUAAAAUGCGUCAAAGCAUGGAUUUCUGGACCCAUCCCGAGCAUUAGACACAGAAUAUGUAUGUCUUAGGGUCAUUACUCAUUACACAGUUUGUCCAUAUGAUCUUCGCGUUACGUUGCUGUACUGAAAAGGUUGGUUCAUAUCGAAUUCAUCGUAGAGUGCCAAAAAUUAUUAUUAUUAUUAUUUUUAUUAUAAAACAUUAUAUUAUUGUAUUAGUUUCAUCUUCUACUACUUGUUCUAAUUGGGUCUUUCUGAUUACAUGUCCCAAUGAUAUCUUAUUUCCCCUUUCAGCAACAGGCGUGGGAAAGACGAUAUAUCCAGCCGCGGGAUAUAGCUUCAGAGCAAUGGUUCUAUUUCGCGAGCACAAGUAAAUUAUGCAUAUUCUUUGAGUUUCCGUGCUAGUAAAUGGAAUUUGAAUAUCAUUUUGAGUUUCCGUGUUAGUAAAUGGAAUUUGAAUAUCAUUUUGAGUU
Molecule: long non-coding RNA, 2954 nt
Organism: Cornus florida
Lineage: Eukaryota; Viridiplantae; Streptophyta; Magnoliopsida; Cornales; Cornaceae
Exons: 5
Source: RefSeq, a predicted model, not a curated record